GCCAAAUCAAAAUACAGAUAAUACUUUGCAGCGUCAUCCGGAGCGAAACAUUUUAUUUUACGCCAAUGAAUAGCAGUGGCAGCUAGGGGUGUGCAACUCCUCUAGAGCAGUUUUGAGAGAAGGUGCCGCUGACCGUGACACCACCGUGGCAGCCUCCCGCGACAAUUUCACGAAUAUUCGUCACGCGGCGGCGUGAAAAACGCCUUGCAGGUGACGCGGGGUCAACCGCGACCUGGCGGAGAGAGAGAGGAGAGGACCGAGAGGGCACUCGGUGGCUUGCGCGCGGCCACCCGUCCCCUCGCCCGUAACACAACCACGCUGAUCGACGUCGCGCGGUAACGAGACGGAAGGAUCCCUUCGGAAAUCUCGCAGAUCAGUGCCGUUGACCCUGUGUGUUGGGAGGCGGGUAUCGUGCAGAGCUCUCUUUACCUCCGAGAUCCCUUUCAUGAAGUGACAUCUGGUACAACAGGGUAAGGGGGUCAGCACUUUCUCACCCGCUCUGCGUGUGAGAGUGACGCUCGUUGCACGACGGUCGAACCGAUGUUUAGAUUCUCGGAGCUGGAAUUUUUUUUUUUUGCCCAAUUAAGUGCAGGACCAAAUUGAAUGUGAUGUGACUUUUUUUUUGUAUCCGGUCAUUGGUGACCGGGCUGAAACUCACUGCACCCAACUCACUGCACUUGAGAACCCGGUUUAAUGGCAGGUGGCACGGACCUUGAUUUAAACCCUGGAACUCGGUGGUGCCGGCUCAGAGCUCUGACCUCUGAUCCACCCAACCACCUAUACAUUGACGCAGCCCCUGCCUUCUCAUUUACAUUCACACGAGGGCUCCUGCGAUGCCAUGUUUAGUGAUGCUAACUUAAAUUUAACGAUUAGCGCGAUAACUUUGCAACUGUGUUUCGCAUUUAUCCGUCUUGUUUUUGCGCCCUGAUGCACUUCAAGUUCGGGUAAAGAUCGCUUCAUUGUCAUUCAACCUCCGCUCACUCAACAGCGAUCCUUUUUUCCGAGCAAGUUGUCAGAAAACGAUGGCGUCAUCGUAUCGCCAUGACGUAAAUUAUUCCAGAAAACGUGCCACAAAGCGCUCGUUCAAUGAGCAUUAUCCGUUUCGAUUUGCUUUGAUCACGAUUGUGAACUUACAUUUUUGUAGUGUCAUAAACAUUUUGACAGGAAAUUAAAUCUUAAUGAGCAACGGUAAUCAGAACGUAACGAUAUUUUUCUAAUCGGACGAUGCUUUUAUUGUGCAUCCUGCGACGUGCUGCAUACACGUCGAAGUGUCGCCCGAUCGCGGCAAAGCCCGUUUCACGAUGAAUGUUGCCUAGCAGACUCCGCAAAUAAUUAAAUUCCAACACUUUUUUUUAUGAUGAGAAAGCCCAUCACAGCAGGAGCUCGCGUGCAGGCUGGAAACAAAUGUAAAUAACAACACGCAGAGGUGUAGGUGAUGGAGUGGGUGAGCGAGUGGAUGGGCGAAUGAGUGAGCGGGUGGGCGGGUGAGUGUGUAAAUUUACAAAUAUACAAAAUGGUGUGUUGCUCACAAACAGCAGGAGGGCAACGCAUGAGUCCCAAUUCAUGUGGCUUGUGUGCAUGUCACGCAACCACCCACAUUGCACGUACAACGCUGUCAGCCUUGUCCAGACCACUAGCUCAUGAGCUGAGCGUGUGGCCGCGUUGUUGACUCUCGCGGUGAAGGAAAGGAAAAAAAAAACCUAUGGGGCGGUUGGUAUGGAGACCCGGAGCGAUGGGUGCAGGCGAGAGCCGUGCUGCCUGACGUCACUCUACCUGUGGAGCGCCGAGCGGAGCCGAGGUGGAAGCUCAUUUCUAAAUUAGGCGACGAAAAUAAAUACACCCGAGUGUUUGCUCGGGGAGGCUGAGGAGCGAUGGAGACGUUUACUGUACGCGAGCGAGAGAGCGAGGGAGGAAGGGAGUGAGCGUCGAGCCUCUAAUUGACGUGUCGCCAGAGUGGCGAUUACGCCCAUUUGCCCCUCGAAGAGAACGCACCCGCAAUCUGCUUGCGUGCCCACGUGUUUGACAAAUACCCCCCCCCCCCAUUGUGAGUAAUUUGUUGGCAUUGUGAAUUAUGAUCGUAUUGUGUGCGCACGCAAGCGCAGCCUUUGCUGCGCUGCGAACCCGGCCACAUUGCUUCGAUUCAGUAUUGGGUGGUCUUGACCCUCCCCUAGGUUAACUUAGCCUCAAAUGAAAAUCUGGUGUCUUGGGGAGACAAAAGCAGCUGGGCGUGGUGCUGGUGACACCACCCCAUCAUGCGCUCUCCAGCCUUAAUAGGUGCUCGCUAACAACACUUUGUGUGUGUGUGUGGGGACCAGGUGCGUAGCAAUUAAGCACUACCAACCUUGUGACACAAUUUCAAUUCCAACAUUCUCAGCCAUGGCCAACAUCAGCGGUAGAUCUCUGAACCGGUCCUGGUCCUCAGUUUGACUUGGCCAUAAAUGAGUAUCUGGUGCGGUGUCUAAGCAUCGGUUACUGUGGGGUUCAUGCACACCACCCCUUCGUGUACCGUACCGACCUUCAUAACUGUUCGAUAACAGCACUUGCCCUUAAAGUCUUUUAAGGCUACACGGUGGGAUAUUUUUCUUUUGUGCAUAUACACACGCGUGUGUGUGCACAUGGGUCCUGUGGCCAUAUGUGCAGGGUACCUGACCCACUGCUUAAAAUUAUUAAGGGCCUUCGUGGAGGUGAGCCAGGUCCAGAAGUCAGAGAGCUAUUCCCUGUUCAACUUUCUACACGAAUCUUCUCUGGCCCCUCGACUAUUUUAAACAUUUUUUUCAUCCAGUAGUUUGAGAUCUUUUCAAUGGGAGGCUGAUUGAUGCCCGGGUGCGGUCAAGAGAUGGCUCUCUACUGGUUAACCAUGUUAUGUUAUGCUAAUGAGUUGUAAUUGCUGCUUACUUUGAGAAUGAGUUAGAGGCUCUGCUGCUGAAUUUGGAGCAUGCCACUAAGUGGUGGGGCUUUAAUGUCAACAAGAAACUCCAGGAUUCCUCGGCCACAGUUAAGCCCUCUCUUCUUUGUUCUUGCAAAGUGCAGGCUACUUUGGUUGGAGGCACCAAAGUAACACCUGCACCAGUUUGAAGCAUUCAGGCUGGGCCUGCCUGUGAUCCAUUACACACAACACCUGGGUCUGUCCUGUGACCGCCCGUCAGCACCGAGCCUUCGACGCUUCACGUGGCCUCCAAGUGCACCUAGCGUGGCACAGGCCAUGCGGUGAUGUCAUUACCAUAGUGGUGAAUGGCGGCUUUUGUUGUUUCCUUUUGUGUGUGUGUGCAUGCACGGGUGUAUUGUGUGGUGCCUCGCAUCUCCUGCCCGCCUUCAUAGGUGCUCGCUAACAGCACUUGCCGAAACAGUCUGUUAAAGGCGAUACAGGAGAGCUUCGUCUUUGUUUAUUGUUCAUGGCAACAGAGAAUGUAUUUACCAUGAUUCUACACACACACACGUACCAGCUGCGCAUUCACAUGCCCAAUUUUUAUCGCCAUCUAUGACUAAGGGCAACGAAGGAGGGGGAACCUACACAGCUAAUGAUUCUGAAAUGUCAGAAAAAUAUUUAAAUUAAAGAUGUAAAAAAAAACAUUUUUCCAGUGAAGACAAAACCCAUGCAUUGCUUUCCGCACGGCAUCCAAAGCAAGCCUUGUUUGUCUGCGUAUCGCAUCGCAUGCCAGGGAGAGAAGGAGAGAAAAAAAAGCUAUUCGCACCUUCCGGAGAGGUGUCAAAUCAUCAGAAGGUGAGAUGUCCCAGAGUGCGGUAGACACGGAUAACAUCACGUCUGCCUAAUGGUUGGAGGCACCAGAAGAACGGCGGCCCGCACCGCCGGGCACCAGCGCCGGGGAAGCCGGGUGCCGUCCCUCUCCCACGUGGCGCUCGGAGCUGCUGGCUCCCAGCCCCUCACCACCGCCGCCACCGCGAGUCUCCGAGUAGCGGCUUCCGACCGUAAGCGCCGAGCCGCUCUGCGGGUUUCGCGUGAGAGCCGCCAAACCCCCCAACUCUCCCCAUUGCCGCCGCCAGGCCUGGACGAAAGCUUGGGUCGUAACGCGGCAGCCAAGAGUGGCUGUCGUGCACAGAUGUUACAGUUGGCUGCGGGACGCGGUCGUGACACGAGGUGUGAGCUUGUGAGGGAUACGGGGUCUGCGUCGUUGGGGGGGGGGGGGGGUUGCGGUGGCCAGAAAUGGAAUUUUGACAUCGCCGUCCUCGUCAGUUGUCGUCCAUGAUCGCGGUGAUCGUCGUUUGGAACUUUGUCGUUGGAUCAUCGUCAACAUUAAAAUUACUGAUUUGACACCGGUAACCCAAGUGGCGAGUGAUAUCUCCACCGCUCCUGUGGCUCCCCCAAAGGCGAAUCUAAAACUUCCAAAGCCGGGGGGGCGGCAGUCCAAAAAUGCCAAUAUUUUUAUAAAUGGGGUCUCAAGGGGUAGGCAAUCAACCCCCCCCCCACCCCCUUAGAUCUGCCACUGGGGCCUGCCUUCUAUAACCUACACUGAUGAGCGUAAUGAAGUAUGGUCAAACAACCGCCCCCAUGACCGACACGGCAUGGGGAGGCCUUUAUCCAGCAAUGUGUUGACAAUGGGCUGUAAUCAUUAUUAUAGAUAUUGAUACAGUGCAAAUGCGCUGCGGAAUUUGAUAAUAUUAGUAGGCGGCAAAAACAACUGAACCACCACUCCACACCCCGCUAUCGUAGCCGAUUCACUUUCCUAAGCAUUUGUCAUAAUUAGUUUAGAUUAACUGCUGAAACGGGAGCUCAUACUCCCCAAAUGUUUAAUUUGCGGAAGUGAGCGGGGAUUUGUCCCCUGCUGAGGAUGACUUCCCACGGCCGUCUCCGUCGGGCAGCAUGGCGUGACCAAACUUGUGCACGUGCCAGCCAAGACGGCAAUACUUUCACAAUAAAAACCCUCGGAAGUUCCGUCCUCCGUUACUAAAUAUUUGCCGCGUUUUGUGCGACAGCAAUAAUGGAGUAAAAUGCGCACACGCAGCACGACGCCGCGGCGUAUCCCACUCGCCCGCGACUGGGAUAUAGGCGGAUAGGUGAAACGGUCGGAUAUGUUACGGCAUCGCGCGCAAAUACUGCACUGUGUCUGGGUGGUUAAUUGGUCAGGGCGGGCAUGUGACGGUGGGAUAUGCGACAUACUGAACCACCGCCAAAAAAUACCUCCUCUUAAACGUAACACCUUCCCCUUCUUUAGCAGGAAAUGUAUUCAAACUUUGGCAAGGGUGCGCAAGUGUCUCCGCAGAUCUCUGUCUCCCUGAGCUGGCGUUGAAGCCAUGGGAGGGAGCGGUGCAGUGGAGCACCCACUCGGCUGGAGGAGACGAUCGCACGCGCACGCACGCACGCAACACCGGCGUGAUGCGGAACACCGCCUCGGGAGAGACCCGCUGCUGCUGACGGUGCGUGAUGAUGUCACAGCAGUGAGCGCCCUCUCCACGAUGGCGGUCCCACAAUGGUGGCAGCUGUGACCGGUGGCUCGGUGAGACAUCGUCAGGAGCGCGGCGGAGCAGUUGAUGGCGCGGAUGAUGGUGCAGGUGAUGGUGCAGGUGGCGUCAAAGUGAUGGCGCAAGUGGUGGUACAGGUUGGUGGUACAGACAGGUGUUCUACAAGUGAUGGUGCGUGUAUUGGUUCAGAUGGUGAUGCAGGUGAUGAUGCAGCUGGUGAUCCAAUUGAUGGCACUUGUUGGUGCAGGCGGCGGCGCAGGCGGUGGCACAGGCCGUGGUUGCGGCAGCUACUCGCUUGGACCCAGCCGCAGCUUCCUGCCGGCGGCGGCAGCGGCAGAGGAGACCGCAGUGAACCGAGUGGCCUGGGAUGCCCGGGGAAACCUUCGCGGUGCGACGAGGAGAGUGAGCAGCGGCGGGUGAGCUGGCUUGGGUGAACGUCUGCGGAUGAGCAGCUACAGGUCAGCCGCUACGAGUGAACAGCUGUGGGCGAGCGGGCCUGGGUGAGCAGCCGCAGAUUUCCCAAGGACAGCUGCCUCAACAAGAGGAUGUCUCUGGGAAGACCGGAACAGGUGGCAACCCCCUAACAAUGCCACUGAGAUGCAGCGUUGAAUGGCACGGAGGCUGGACUUGCCUCUGCGCCCACACCACACUGACGGAGCUUCCUCUCAACGCUGUCUUCCCGGGGCCACGUCCCUCGCCUGAGACAUCCCACGGUGCCGUCUCUGGAGAGAAUCGGCCGUCCCAUCUCGGCCUGAUCGGUGGACGCCUGAUCGGUGGACGCCUGAUCGGUGGACGCCUGAUCGGUGGACGCCUGAUCGGUGGACGCCUGGCUGCUCCCGCUGUCUACGCUCGGAGUUUCUUCCAAGUCACCCUCCCGGAUCCCUACCUUCACCGUGACGGCACUGGGGACUUGGGCCCCUCUCGACCUCCGUUGUGUCCCCCCUCCGCCGCCAAAGCUGAGAGAAGGAAGCAUUCUAACAUUGCAGAAGUGAAAGGGGACCGCAUGCAACAAAAACAAUGAUGCGUGACUGAAAGUAGCCCGGGGGUGCGCUGUCCAGGGUGGAACACCGCACGGGUGAACAAGAAAGACCCUGCACACGAAUGUGGUAGCUACGCCAGUCUGCUCCGCGCUGUCUGAUGGCACCGGGACACUCCAUCAUUAGAUCAUCGCGAUUUUCGUUUUGCAGCUCGUGGGGCGACUUGAUUGUUCUUGCGCACACUCAGCAAGAUUUGGACCGAUCGGUCAACGGUUCGUCGGCCUGGAACUCACCUACCUACUCAUCCACCUACUCACCCACCCACUCACCCACCCACUCACCCACCCACUCACCUGCU
Molecule: non-coding RNA, 6753 nt
Organism: Petromyzon marinus (sea lamprey)
Lineage: Eukaryota; Metazoa; Chordata; Hyperoartia; Petromyzontiformes; Petromyzontidae
Source: RefSeq, a predicted model, not a curated record